This 245-nucleotide ribosomal RNA is filed under the name uncultured bacterium. RNAcentral describes it as "partial 16S ribosomal RNA". It matches the Rfam family "Bacterial small subunit ribosomal RNA", at positions 524 to 768 of the family's 1533-position model. The record is from RNAcentral.
UACAGAGGUGGCGAGCGUUGUUCGGAUUUACUGGGCGUAAAGGGCGCGUAGGCGGCCGUGUGUGUCGGGUGUGAAAUCCAUGGGCUCAACCCAUGAAGUGCGCCCGAAACUGCACGGCUCGAGUUCGGGAGGGGGGAUCGGAAUGCAGGGUGUAGCGGUGAAAUGCGUUGAUAUCCUGCAGAACACCGGUGGCGAAGGCGGAUCCCUGGAACGAGACUGACGCUGAGGCGCGAAAGCAGGGGGAG